GAAAAUCCUUUAGCUGGAUAAGGGGCGGAUGUAGCCAAGUGGAUCAAGGCAGUGGAUUGUGAAUCCACCAUGCGC
This 75-nucleotide transfer RNA is filed under the name Saccharum spontaneum (wild sugarcane). Its description in RNAcentral is "tRNA-His". The stretch from base 25 to 75 matches the Rfam family "tRNA", at positions 1 to 48 of the family's 71-position model. Rfam says of the family: Transfer RNA (tRNA) molecules are approximately 80 nucleotides in length. Their secondary structure includes four short double-helical elements and three loops (D, anti-codon, and T loops). Lineage: Eukaryota; Viridiplantae; Streptophyta; Magnoliopsida; Poales; Poaceae. The record is from RNAcentral.